GACAGAGGUCCCGAGCGUUAGGCGGAAUCACUGGGCUUAAAGCGUGUGUAGGCGGAUCGUUAAGUACCUUGUGAAAUCCCACGGCUUAACCGUGGAACGGCUUGGUAUACUGGCGGUCUUGAGCCACUUAGGGGCUACCGGAACAAAUGGUGGAGCGGUGAAAUGCGUAGAUAUCAGGAGGAACACCUGUGGUGUAGACAGCUUACUGGACCAUUUCUGACGCUGAGACACGAAAGCGUGGGUAGCAAACAGG
RNAcentral lists this ribosomal RNA (253 nucleotides) under uncultured bacterium. Its description in RNAcentral is "partial 16S ribosomal RNA". It matches the Rfam family "Bacterial small subunit ribosomal RNA", at positions 524 to 776 of the family's 1533-position model. The record is from RNAcentral.